AGGGAUAUACCUGGGUCAAAUGGUGGUACAUUCCUGAUUUUUUGAGGAGUCUCCAUACUGUUUUCCAGAUUGGUUACACCAAUUUGCAGUCCCACUAGCAGU
RNAcentral lists this microRNA precursor (102 nucleotides) under Marmota monax (woodchuck). Lineage: Eukaryota; Metazoa; Chordata; Mammalia; Rodentia; Sciuridae. The record is from RNAcentral.